Molecule: long non-coding RNA, 767 nt
Organism: Mobula hypostoma (lesser devil ray)
Lineage: Eukaryota; Metazoa; Chordata; Chondrichthyes; Myliobatiformes; Myliobatidae
Exons: 3
Source: RefSeq, a predicted model, not a curated record
CAUGUAUUCUGUGGUAAACUUUUCGUUCUUCAGUUUGCCUGAAGAUAGAAGAAAACAGGACCAGUUCCAGAAAAACUGGCUGCUAAUUUAAGCUGACUAUUUUAUGUACGAGGGAGAAGCUUGCCAUCAGCUGAGGGACAUUUUAUUAAUAAUUCAAGGAAUGUGGGCUUUGCAAUCCUAACCAGCAUUUAAUUGCCCAUCUCUGUGUGACCUGCCCUCUUGAAGCAAAAGCACUCCCACUCAUCUUAACUGAAUUUUACAGAAGAACUAUUGAGAUUGUCCUGACAAGCUGCAGCUCCAUCUGAUAUGGGAGCAGCCGAGCAUCAGACCAGACCCUGUGAAAGUGGCCAAGAGGAUAAUAGUGGUCUCCCUACCAUCCAUUGGGGACAUUUAUCAGGAGCACUGUGUACACUGGGCCCUUAGUAAUGUCAAGGAUCCCACCCAUCCAUCCAUCCAGCAUCUUCUUUGACUUUCUACCAUCACAAAGAGACUCUGAUGCAUAAAGACAAGAAUGAUCAGUGUGGGAAACAGCUUCUUCCCUCAAGCCAUUAAGCUUCUUUUCGCCCUGUGGCAUUGCAUUUGAAGUGGUGCCAGAUUGCUUUGUACCUUACAAUAUUUAGUUUAUGCAUUUUACUUUGUUUAUUUAUGUGUAAUUGCUUUGUAGAUUUAAUUCUUACUUUCCUAGGUUAUUGGGUGUUAUAUGUGGGUUAUGUGCUUAACACCGUGGUCCGGAGAAAUGUCUCCUUUGAUGGUAAACAUGUAUACAG